GGAGAUUUAGCUCAGCGACAUAAGCACCUGCCUUGCAAGCAGGCGGUGAUAGUUCAAUCUCUG
RNAcentral lists this transfer RNA (63 nucleotides) under Cavia porcellus (domestic guinea pig). It matches the Rfam family "tRNA". From Rfam's summary of the family: Transfer RNA (tRNA) molecules are approximately 80 nucleotides in length. Their secondary structure includes four short double-helical elements and three loops (D, anti-codon, and T loops). Further hydrogen bonds mediate the characteristic L-shaped molecular structure. tRNAs have two regions of fundamental functional importance: the anti-codon, which is responsible for specific mRNA codon recognition, and the 3' end, to which the tRNAs corresponding amino acid is attached (by aminoacyl-tRNA synthetases). tRNAs cope with the degeneracy of the genetic code in two manners: having more than one tRNA (with a specific anti-codon) for a particular amino acid; and 'wobble' base-pairing, i.e. permitting non-standard base-pairing at the 3rd anti-codon position. The record is from Rfam by way of RNAcentral. Lineage: Eukaryota; Metazoa; Chordata; Mammalia; Rodentia; Caviidae.